GAAGACGAAAAAGCUACAAUAGCCACUGUUAUUUCUCCAGUGAGAAGAUCUCCCAGGCUAUAUAGUCGUAGAUAAUGAUCUGUCACAUAAACUAGUGGUGGAUAGUCAAACUUUUGGUUGAAACAAGAAAUACGUAUUGUUAAUGUAAAGGUGUUUGUGAUAAUUGCAUUUCUAUCAUAGCUACAUAACAUAUUUAUAAGGAUUGACAUC
This 210-nucleotide long non-coding RNA is filed under the name Glycine max (soybean). Its description in RNAcentral is "long non-coding RNA (GMAX_LNC004694)". The record is from RNAcentral. Lineage: Eukaryota; Viridiplantae; Streptophyta; Magnoliopsida; Fabales; Fabaceae.